This 71-nucleotide transfer RNA is filed under the name Paracoccus alcaliphilus. It matches the Rfam family "tRNA". Rfam says of the family: Transfer RNA (tRNA) molecules are approximately 80 nucleotides in length. Their secondary structure includes four short double-helical elements and three loops (D, anti-codon, and T loops). Further hydrogen bonds mediate the characteristic L-shaped molecular structure. tRNAs have two regions of fundamental functional importance: the anti-codon, which is responsible for specific mRNA codon recognition, and the 3' end, to which the tRNAs corresponding amino acid is attached (by aminoacyl-tRNA synthetases). tRNAs cope with the degeneracy of the genetic code in two manners: having more than one tRNA (with a specific anti-codon) for a particular amino acid; and 'wobble' base-pairing, i.e. permitting non-standard base-pairing at the 3rd anti-codon position. RNAcentral also lists the same sequence under 2 other names. Lineage: Bacteria; Pseudomonadati; Pseudomonadota; Alphaproteobacteria; Rhodobacterales; Paracoccaceae. The record is from RNAcentral.
GGGCCGUAGCUCAGUUGGUAGAGCGCAUCGUUCGCAAUGAUGAGGUCAGGGGUUCGAUUCCCCUCGGCUCC